GAAAACCUGCUAACAUUAAAGAAGAAAAACAGUUAUAUUUUAAUACCACCUUUACAUACUCAUUGAGCAAUUUUCCUUUAGGAAAGAAUGGCCCCUCCAUUUGCUAGCUAUGCAAAGGGCUCAACACUUUUCACAUAUAUUCUGGUUUGCUAAGAAAUGUGAGCAUUUGUCAGUAGUGUUUUUGUUUUGUUUUGUUUUUUGUACGCACAUGCUCAUAACAUGCAAAAGUUCCCAGGCCAGGGAUCAAACCCGCACCACAGCAGCAACUCUAUUCACAGCAGUGACAAUGCCAGAUUUUUAACUGCUAGACCACCAGGGAAUUCCCUAUCAGUAGUUUUUAUUGUUUGCUGGUUAGUUAGCUUUUCUGUGAAGACAUCUCCUGCCCCCCCCCGCCCCUUUUCAGGAUAUUCUCUCACUCCACUGGGUACAGAACUGGGAGGACACAGUGCCCUGCUUCCCUCCAUGAAAGACAAAGGAAGGAUCCUCCUUUUCCUACAUGACAACAUGGGUUCAUUCAAUCGGAUGCAGACAGUUUCUGUUCCUCAGUCAAGAACCAAGACUGAUAUGCUGGGAACUUUUGCAUGUUACAAGCAUGUGCAUACCCCAAAUCUCAGUAGCCAAGCACAAAGGUUUACUUCUCCCUCAUGCAGUUCUGAUGCAGGAUGGGUGGCUCUCUGUCUUUCUGUCUGCCCUUCAAGAAACAGCCAGCUCAUUACCGCUUGUCAAGACCUUGUGGCCAAGUGGACCCACGUGACCCCAAAUUCUUACAAGUCUCCUUAGAAAUGUUUAAAAAUUCUUGAAACAGGAGUCUGAGUAGCAUGCAUAUCAUCCGCUGCCACACUAUUGUUUUAUGUUAUUUAUCAUUGCUGUUGUGAUUACCGGAAUUUAUGGCAGUCAUUAGCCAACAGCCAUUCCGAUGCUCUCAGCCAGCAAUCUGUCACUCUUCUCCUUGGUGGCGGGGAGUAGAAAGGACAUGGGCAGUUACAGAACACCCAAAGCUCAGGGAGUCUUCGGUAAGGAUGAUGCAAUCCUCCCUCAGAGACCUGACAAGACCUUGACAGUGGGGAAAAGAGGGAGAGAGAGAGAAGAAAGAGAAGCAAGAACUAAUGAAUGUGGCCAGGCACCUGUCAGAACUCUAAAAGCUGAAGCACCCGAGAGGAAAGGGACAGGGUCACAGCACAGCUUGGGUCCAAGUUUUUGAGGGGUUGGCUGUACCCUGAGCAGUUUAAAAGGGCGCCUUCCAAUAAACAACAAAAACAGAUACACUAAGGAGUUCCCAUUGUGGCUCAGUGGGGUAAGAACCCGACAUAGUGUCUAUGAGGAUGCAGGUUUGAUCCCUAGCUCCACUCAGUAGGUGAAGGAUCCCGUGUAGCCACAAGCUGCAGUGUAGGUCGUAGUUUCAGCUCAGAUCCUGAGUUGCUGUGGCUGUGGUGUAGACUUCAGCUGCGGCUCCAAUUCGACCCCUAACCUGGGACCUUCAAUAUACCACAGGUGUGGCACUAGUAAGAAAAAAUAAAUAAAUACAUCUAAAAGGUGUUUUUUUUUCCCCUUAAGGCCAGAAGCAAUGCUAGCUCCUUGAUCCUGAUUUAGCAUUCACUGUGCAACACCCACAUUUGCCCUGUGACUCAUAAACUAAUAAAAGGAAGACCUCAUCCGCUCAAGAACAUAACCGCACAGAGCCAGAGCCGACCCUGUCAGACACCAUCAUUAACUUCACAGGUUAAUUUCAGUGAUUGCCAAUUUGUAGGCAACAUUCUUCAGGAAUACAAAUGCUCUGGUCCUACCUGAACCUCUUGCAAUCCUCCUCUUAGCCCCAGUACCCUUGGAUGAAAACAAUACAAUUUGCUGACUGCCAUCCUGAGGUUGUGACGACCAUGAUAUCAAUAUUAGGAAACCCCUUAAGAUUUGAAGAAUGAUUUCUGCAUCUGUUUCAAAGUGCUUAUAGCCCAUUAGCUCAUCUGAUUUUUAUGAGAACUUUCUACAAUGGGACAUUAUGUUUCAUUUUGAGGGCCACAAGCUCACUCCCUAAGGAGAAGGAUGAUGUCUUUCAGAGGCUACAGAUCUCCAGCCUGAGCACAGCAGCUGACACAAAGUAAGUGCUGGAACAUGUUUACAGAAAGAAUGAAUAAAUAAAUAAAUAAGGGAAUGUGUGAAAGUGAUUUCUAUUCGAACAAUAAGAAUACUGAAGUCUGUAGAAAGUAUUAUUUGCUUAGGAUCGCCAUGCUAUUUGGUGGAAGAAGCAGUAUUAUGUCUCCUAGUUUUGUGCUCUUCUCACUUACAUGCAUUUCACUGUAUAGUUACUGCUUUUCUUUUAAUAACUCCAAGUAAGAAAACCUGAUCCAAUGUGCACACAUCAGGGACAAGUUAAUCUAGUGUAAGACAUUAUUCUAUUUUCUUAGUCCUAUUUCCCAUCAGCUAACAUGGAAUAAGAGUUAACUACAAGCUGGCUCUACUUUUCAUAGUUGAAACUGAUGUUCUAAUAUACCUAUAGGAACUAAUACACAAAAGAAAGGAGUGAUGAUGCAGAGGUGGGAAGGAGGAAGGAAAGAAGCAAGGGAGGGAGAGAGGGAGGAAGAGAAGAGGAAGAGAGGGAAGGAGUCAGAAGGGAGGGAGGAAGGAAGGAAGAAGCAAGCCAAGAGGGCACCCCCCCCAAAAAAAAAAAAAAAAAAAAAAACUAGAGGGCCACUUUCCAGUGUACUACCUCCACGGCAACUGUAUUCCAUGGUAUGGAAGCGUCCUGGGAUUAACUUCCCCAAGUAUACUAGCACAGUAUCUCCUACUGAGAGCUUUCCCCAGGGCUACAGAGGGUGGCCUCCAGAAACUUCUACCAACAUAGCAUUUGGCAGUGGGUCACUAUACCCCCUCCAACGAGGUCUGGAGCUCAAUCUGGAAGAGGGAAUAUGUUCCAAAUAGUCUUCCUUCCUCAGACAUUCUGACUCAGCUCCAGGGGGAAGUAGCUGUUUCCUAUAUGUACUACUCCUAUAUCCCUUAGAGUUCUUUUGACCCCUUAGUAGGCAAGCUCUUGCUAUAAUUAAUAAUCCUUUAUAUUAAACUUUCCCUAUUCCAAUUACUGUGCAUAAAUGUUCAUAGUAGAUUUAUCUGUAAUAACCCCAAACUGGAAAAAAAUCCAAAUGUCCAUCAAGAGACAAAUGUAAAAACAAACUAUAAUAUAUUCAUUACACGGAAUACUAAUAAACAAUAAAAAAUGAAGGAAUACACCUAAGAAUGGAUGAAUCUCAAAAUCAUUAUGCUCAGUUAAAGAAAUCAGGCAAAAAAGUCCACAUGCUAUAUUGUUCCAUUUAUACAAAGUCUAACAAUGCAAACUUAUCUAUUCUGACAGAAAACAGAUCUGUGUUUGCCUGAUAAUGCAAAUGGAGGUGUAUUACAUAGAGAGAUAUAUUACAAAGGGUCCCAAGGAAAUUUGGGGUGGGGGCGAUGGAAACAUUUAUUACUUUUAUUACGUUGAUGGUUUCUCAGUGUAUACAUAUGUCAGAGCUGAUCAGAUUUAUACUUUAAAUAUAUGCAGUUCAACUCCAUAUCAAUAAAGUUGGGAGAAAAAGGAAAAAAAAUAAAUAAAUCUUGUUUUGUCAGAUCUGUCAAUAUUUUCUUAUACAUAUCUUCUAUUUCCAAACUACAAUAUUUGUUUGCCAUCCAGUGGUGCAAUGCUCAUUUGUAUUUUCUCUUGUUUUUUAUGACUUGAUUUUUUUUAAAAGAUAUUUCACUCUUUAUUCACAUUAGAAUUUAAAUAAGAACUUAAAAAAAAACUGGAUUUAAAGGUACAGUGGGAGAACACAAACUAUUGAGUUGCACUUGUUUCUUAUUCAGCAUUUGCAGAUAAAAGUCCUAGUGAGCUAAAAGUGGUCAAUGAGGAGAGUACACCUUUAAUUGGCUAAUUAAGAACACAGUCAGCAUGUUUCACCUUCAAAAUGAGAAAGAAGUGUCUCAAUUACCCAGCAAGUGCCUGAGUGUGCCACAAUUAGCUAAUUAUUGAUGACAUUAUUUCUGCGCUUGAUUAGUCAGGCAGUCACCAUGAAAGAGAAUGCUAGUGUCAAAAAUUCAAAUCCAGAACUUUCAGAAGUCAAGUUUAGUUGGCAUGUUCCAAUAAAGGAAAAAAAAUAUUAAUAUUUAGGGAGGGGGCCAUAUAUUUCCAGUCACUGAUCACACUUGCUUUAGGAAAUCUGUGUUUGAAUUAGGAAUAAAAGACACAGAUUUCACAACCAUCAUCUUUUCAAAUAUUCUAUUCUUCUUUAUUCAUAAACCAUCCAUACUUUUCCACAUUUUAAAAUCCUGUCUCCCCAACUUUUUCUGGUAUGUCAAAGAGCACAAAACUGUAAAUGAAAAGGUAAUAUUGAAUCUAUUCCUACAUAAAAAGUAAUGGCAAAAUAGUUAUAAGCUCCAUUAGAAAAAUCCCUUAACAACAACGUAUCAUCUGACAUUUCUUGAGGCUAUAAUGUCCUCAACCUCAUUAUAGCUCAUUACUCCUGUCAGUAGUAUUGGAUCUUGAAAUAUUGAAAUUAGAGGUAGUUUGGUGUGCCUGUAUCUAUUUCCCACUGAGCAGCACCAUCUGAAUGGAACCUAGGAACACUCAUGGUACACUGUGAUGUGAACACAUCAGGAUGUGGCCUCAGACAAAACAGAAUUAAGUUCAAAAUUCAGUCCUUUGCUUUUAAAAAUAUACUGAAUGGUUCAACUCUUAGAAAUACAUUUUUCUCAUCACAGAAUAAGCAUUCAGACUAUGGCAGCUGUCCAUCAAUGAAGGUUCACUGGAUGGAAUUUCAGGGACAGAAUGCAUAAUUGUAUGUCUCACAUCCUGAAGCAU
This 4819-nucleotide long non-coding RNA is filed under the name Sus scrofa (pig). Its description in RNAcentral is "lncRNA (ENSSSCG00000057486.1)". Lineage: Eukaryota; Metazoa; Chordata; Mammalia; Artiodactyla; Suidae. The record is from RNAcentral.